CGGACAGAAGCCCGCUGGGUAGGGUGUUUAGCUGUUAACUAAAGUUUUACGGGAUCGAGGCCCGUCUGUCUAG
Molecule: transfer RNA, 73 nt
Filed under: Scincella rupicola
Lineage: Eukaryota; Metazoa; Chordata; Lepidosauria; Squamata; Scincidae
Description: tRNA-Asn
Rfam family: tRNA
About the family: Transfer RNA (tRNA) molecules are approximately 80 nucleotides in length.
Source: RNAcentral